Molecule: transfer RNA, 88 nt
Filed under: Floricoccus tropicus
Lineage: Bacteria; Bacillati; Bacillota; Bacilli; Lactobacillales; Streptococcaceae
Rfam family: tRNA
About the family: Transfer RNA (tRNA) molecules are approximately 80 nucleotides in length. Their secondary structure includes four short double-helical elements and three loops (D, anti-codon, and T loops).
Source: Rfam by way of RNAcentral
GGGGAAGUACUCAAGAGGCUGAAGAGGACGGUUUGCUAAAUCGUUAGACCGGGAGACCGGUGCGGGGGUUCGAAUCCCUUCUUCUCCG